RNAcentral lists this small nuclear RNA (267 nucleotides) under Numida meleagris (helmeted guineafowl). Its description in RNAcentral is "7SK RNA (ENSNMEG00000017854.1)". It matches the Rfam family "7SK RNA". From Rfam's summary of the family: 7SK was discovered as an abundant small nuclear RNA in the mid-70s but a possible function has only recently been suggested. The record is from RNAcentral. Lineage: Eukaryota; Metazoa; Chordata; Aves; Galliformes; Numididae.
GAAUGUGAGGGUGAUCUGGCUGCAAUAUCAGUCACCUCACUGAUCACUAGGGUUGAUUUGCCUGAUCUGGCUUGCCGCUUCAUGUGCAUCCCUCUCAAAGCUGUGGGCUUAGUUGAGGAAGACAGCCUUCCCCAUAUAGGCAUAUACUGUUCAUUGGUCAAGGGUAUACAAUGUCAAGUCUGGAAGGCAGAGACAAAAAAUGGAAAGAUAAUGUUGAACAGGCUUCCAGCACAGAGGUACCAAUAGAUAAAGAUGUGUGUUUUUUUC